RNAcentral lists this ribosomal RNA (253 nucleotides) under uncultured bacterium. RNAcentral describes it as "partial 16S ribosomal RNA". It matches the Rfam family "Bacterial small subunit ribosomal RNA", at positions 524 to 776 of the family's 1533-position model. The record is from RNAcentral.
UACAGAGGUCCCAAGCGUUGUUCGGAUUCACUGGGCGUAAAGGGUGCGUAGGCGGUCGGGUAAGUCUGCCGUGAAAUCUUCAAGCUUAACUUGGAAACUGCGUCGGAUACUAUUCGGCUGGAGGAAUGGAGGGGAGACUGGAAUACUUGGUGUAGCAGUGAAAUGCGUAGAUAUCUGGAGGAACACCGGUGGCGAAGGCGGCAUCCUGGACCGGUAUUGACGCUGAGGCGCGAAAGCCAGGGGAGCAAACGGG